UAUUAUUAUUAUUAUUAUGUCUUGGGACGCAAGGAAGUUCAUGGCAGCAAAAAAUCCCCCAUCUUCUUUCCUCCAGCAUCAUUCAGGAGAGGGCCAUGAUUCUCCUGAGUGGCUUUGCAGAGGGCACAGUGCGGAGGAGCAGGCGGAAACUUAUCCUUCUGUGUCUCAAAAUCUAACUUGUUGCUCCGUAUAAAUAACCCGCCCUUGUUCUCAGAGUAGCUGUCUUGCUGUUCGGAGUUGUGAUAGGAAUUUUGAGGUCUUAGAUAUAUGGUAAUGUUCAUAAGCGUACCAACCAAGCACGUACAUAGAUCAGCACAGGAAGACCGACCUGGAACCAUUUUGAUUCCUCAACUGAGCAAAUGUUUUCUCUGCAAGGUCAAAGUGGGAAACCUCCCCAUUGUCUCUUUCCUCACAAAUCCUGUCUUAAGGGCACAUUUAAGAUAUGAAUAGGGUGUGAGCCUGUGACCUGGCCCAGGAACUAAGUAUUUAUCAUUACAAAAGACUGGCCAGGCUCCCCAGGCAAUCCAAUCAAGUAACCUGCCAGACAGGAGAUAAACAAGGACAGGAGAAAAACAACAUUCAAAUUUUCUGUUUUAGACCGCCUUUUUUGUGAUGUAGGUGUGAUGUAUCUGAGGGGUGGUCUUAGGUUACACCCCUUCUGCGAUGUAUGUAUGGUGUUUCUGGGGGUGGUCUUGAUCUACAGGGUGGCAAUUUCAAAAGUCUUUAUAAGGCCUUGCACACCAUUGUUCUGGGUUCCUCCGCCUUUCCUGCGAGUGAGGGGAGCACCCUGUUGCAACAGAUCAAUAAAGAUCAAGCUUACUAGCUGCUUUGCUUCUCAAUAUUCUCUGGUUGGCCUCUGUUAUUCUCUCCUACCAAUAGGGAACCUAUGUAAGGACUCUAUAUGGGCUCUUGGAUACCCCAUAAGGGAAAAGGGCAAUUUUUGUUUACAACAGAGUUUACCCAAUUGACCAUCUUUCCCCUUUUCUCUGCCAGGUAGAAGAUUCCCUUCAGGCCACAAGGGUGGAGAGCCAGCCCAGGAGGGCCACCAACCCUGCAGCUGUUCCGACCUGCGUGGGCCCCGGAAUCCAAAGAAACAUGGACGGCUGUGUCCUUGCGAUGGCAUCCUUACCGGUUUGUCUCUGCCAGAACAGCUCCAUCACCACCACCGUGGCAUGUCCAAGCGGCAUUUGCACCAGAGAAGGCAUCGGUGCCAGGCGUUUGUGAAUAAGUGCCACAUGAUGCGGGUGGCCAUACCCUUGUAGCUUUCUCUCUUUUUUUACGUAAAUUUUUAUUAGUUUUUUAACAUAUCAUUUUCAACAGUAAUUAAACAUACUUUUACAUCUUAUUCCAUUUUUUUGGACUUCCAUCAGUCCUGUCUGAAAAUUUUCCAAUCUAAUCUCUCAGUGUGCAUUUCUUAUCUUCCCUAUUACAUUUCAAACUCAUAACCAAUAUCUCUAUCUUUUUCUAACACUUCGUAUAUUUCUCCUUACAAAACUUAUUGUAGUCCUACUAGCGUAAUUUGUUGAUGACAGUUGCUCUUCAAAUAAUUCAUAUACUUCUUCCAAUCUUCUGUAAA
Long non-coding RNA from Podarcis raffonei (Aeolian wall lizard), 1576 nucleotides. RefSeq lists it as uncharacterized. The record is from RefSeq and is a predicted model, not a curated record. The transcript has 3 exons. Lineage: Eukaryota; Metazoa; Chordata; Lepidosauria; Squamata; Lacertidae.